Unclassified non-coding RNA from Cebus imitator (Panamanian white-faced capuchin), 268 nucleotides. It matches the Rfam family "Metazoan signal recognition particle RNA". From Rfam's summary of the family: The signal recognition particle (SRP) is a universally conserved ribonucleoprotein. It is involved in the co-translational targeting of proteins to membranes. The record is from Ensembl. NCBI's taxonomy places the organism in Eukaryota, Metazoa, Chordata, Mammalia, Primates, Cebidae.
GCUGGGUGGGGUGGCACAUGCCUGUAGUCCCAGCUACUCGGGAGGCUGAGGUGGGAGAAUCACUUGAGCCCAGGAGUUAUGGGCUGUAGUGCGCUAUGCCAAUCGAGUGUCCGCACUAGGUUCGGCAUCAAUAUGGUGACCUCCCAGGAGCAGGGGACCACCAGGUUGCCUAAGGAGGGAAAACUCCCAUGCUGAUCAGUAAAAAAUACUCCUGUCCGACUAGCAACAUUCACUUCUUACCAUACUGCUAAACACAUAUAUAUAACAA